CUGAGGCCCUGUUACUCUCUCACUCACUCGCUUGGUCUUGAUCUCUCUCUCUCUCAACCCUCUCUAAACCCUAAUCUCUCUCAACCGAUCGAAUCGACCUUCUUCAGCCCUGUUUGAUCUAAUCCCAGAGCGAUUGGUGAUUCAUUUCAAAUCCAAUGAGUGAUUGGUGAUUCAUCUCAGAUCCAAUCUCAGAGCAAUUGACAAUUUCGAUUUUGAGAUUUCGAAGCUCCACCGCCUCCACCAUCUGCACUGGCGAGGGAAGCGAGCACCAUCGUCUACUAAAGUACAAGUGACAUGCCGCCUUCAAGGUCUUAGUUUGAGAGGUUUUGGGUGAUGGAGGACUCCAUUUUGUUGAUUUGUUUUUGAUGUUAAAUGUAUAAUAAAGCCGAGGGCUCAUUCUGUAAAAGAGUUACUUGGAAAGAUGUAAGCCCGUAGGGCAUUCUUUUGAUGCUAAUAUGUACUUAUGUUUGUAAAGAAGACUGAUGAAUUGAAAUAUACUAUUUCUCCUAUGUUUAUGGAUUAUACGAAUGGUUGCCUUGUACUUUAUUUGAGGGCGUUACACUACCAAGAAUCAAGUUAAUGUUGUCAUUGGUUUCAUUGAUACUGGCAGCACUGUGCUCUAUUAGGAUUAUAAAGAAAGUCCCGGACCUGGAUGAAAAUUUUAUAAACCCUGCUGCUGGCUUACUUAAGGAAAAGCACCACGGAGUUUUAAUAACAUGACUUCAUCUCUACAUAGAUCUAUGUACAGCCAGUGCAGAGGCUCUUGAAUAUUUUAGAAAGGUAACUUGACCAUGGUGUAGACAAUAUGCUGUAUAUGUAAUCAGGGGCGGAGGCAGGAGGGUCAGGGGGGUCUUGAUAAAUUCGAUUAAUAAGUGUAUGUGCACACAAAUUGUGUACCCUUUUUUUUUAUUUUAUUUUAUUUAUUUUUUUUAUGAUUUGGUAACUUAUUUGUUGAAUGUUUGUUGUAACAUUUUCUUGAAGUUCUUUCUUUGCAAAUUUUGUAUUGGUAGUUGUCAUUUGUAUUUACAUCGGGUGAUUGUUGUAAAGUAGGAACUAUGAUAUGAUUUUUAUGGUAUCAUUGUGAAUGAAGUUGGUAAUAGUUUUGCCAUA
This is a non-coding RNA of Camellia sinensis, 1110 nucleotides long. The record is from RefSeq and is a predicted model, not a curated record. Lineage: Eukaryota; Viridiplantae; Streptophyta; Magnoliopsida; Ericales; Theaceae.